Molecule: transfer RNA, 70 nt
Filed under: Atta sexdens rubropilosa
Lineage: Eukaryota; Metazoa; Arthropoda; Insecta; Hymenoptera; Formicidae
Also listed under: 1 other name
Description: tRNA-Gln
Source: RNAcentral
UAUAUUUUAAUGUAAAAGAGCAUAAAAAUUUUUGAAGUUUUUAGGAACAGUUCAAUUCUGUUAAGUAUAU